GACGAACGCUGGCGGCGUGCUUAACACAUGCAAGUCGAGCGGUAAGGCCCUUUCGGGGGUACGACGAGCGGCGAACGGGUGAGUAACACGUGGGUGACCUGCCCUCAGCUCUGGGAGUAAGCCGUCGGGAAACCGGGUACUAAUACCGGGAUAUGACUCCAUGACGCAUGUUGUGGGGUGGAAAGCCUUGUGCGGCUGAGGAUGGGCCCGCGGCCUAUCAGCUUGUUGGU
RNAcentral lists this ribosomal RNA (230 nucleotides) under uncultured bacterium. RNAcentral's name for it is "partial 16S ribosomal RNA". It matches the Rfam family "Bacterial small subunit ribosomal RNA", at positions 28 to 253 of the family's 1533-position model. The record is from RNAcentral.